UACGUAGGGGGCUAGCGUUGUCCGGAAUCAUUGGGCGUAAAGCGCGUGUAGGCGGCCCGGUAAGUCCGCUGUGAAAGUCGGGGGCUCAACUCUCGGAUGCCGGUGGAUACUGUCGGGCUCGAGUACGGAAGAGGCGGGUGGAAUUCCUGGUGUAGCGGUGGAAUGCGCAGAUAUCAGGAAGAACACCCGUGGCGAAGGCGGCUCUCUGGGACGGUACUGACGCUGAGACGCGAAAGCGUGGGGAGCGAACAGG
Molecule: ribosomal RNA, 253 nt
Filed under: uncultured bacterium
Lineage: Bacteria
Description: partial 16S ribosomal RNA
Rfam family: Bacterial small subunit ribosomal RNA
Source: RNAcentral